This 497-nucleotide ribosomal RNA is filed under the name uncultured bacterium. RNAcentral's name for it is "partial 16S ribosomal RNA". It matches the Rfam family "Bacterial small subunit ribosomal RNA", at positions 28 to 507 of the family's 1533-position model. The record is from RNAcentral.
GAUGAACGCUGGCGGCGUGCCUAAUACAUGCAAGUCGAGCGAACGGACGAGAAGCUUGCUUCUCUGAUGUUAGCGGCGGACGGGUGAGUAACACGUGGAUAACCUACCUAUAAGACUGGGAUAACUUCGGGAAACCGGAGCUAAUACCGGAUGAUAUUUUGAACCGCAUGGUUCAAAAGUGAAAGACGGUCUUGCUGUCACUUAUAGAUGGAUCCGCGCUGCAUUAGCUAGUUGGUAAGGUAACGGCUUACCAAGGCAACGAUGCAUAGCCGACCUGAGAGGGUGAUCGGCCACACUGGAACUGAGACACGGUCCAGACUCCUACGGGAGGCAGCAGUAGGGAAUCUUCCGCAAUGGGCGAAAGCCUGACGGAGCAACGCCGCGUGAGUGAUGAAGGUCUUCGGAUCGUAAAACUCUGUUAUUAGGGAAGAACAUAUGUGUAAGUAACUGUGCACAUCUUGACGGUACCUAAUCAGAAAGCCACGGCUAACUACGUG